Molecule: ribosomal RNA, 493 nt
Filed under: uncultured Rothia sp.
Lineage: Bacteria; Bacillati; Actinomycetota; Actinomycetes; Micrococcales; Micrococcaceae
Description: partial 16S ribosomal RNA
Source: RNAcentral
CACGUAGUUAGCCGGCGCUUUCUCUGCAGGUACCGUCAAUCUCUCUUCUUCCCUGCUAACAGAGGUUUACAACCCGAAGGCCGUCAUCCCCCACGCGGCGUCGCUGCAUCAGGCUUGCGCCCAUUGUGCAAUAUUCCCCACUGCUGCCUCCCGUAGGAGUCUGGGCCGUGUCUCAGUCCCAGUGUGGCCGGUCACCCUCUCAGGCCGGCUACCCGUCGUCGCCUUGGUGAGCCGUUACCUCACCAACAAGCUGAUAGGCCGUGAGCCCAUCUAUAACCACUACAUAACGCUUUCCACCAACACCCCAUGCGGAGAUUGGUCGUAUCCGGUAUUAGACCCAGUUUCCCAGGCUUAUCCCAGAGUUAAAGGUAGGUUACUCACGUAUUACUCACCCGUUCGCCACUAAUCCACCUAGCAAGCUAGGCUUCAUCGUUCGACUUGCAUGUGUUAAGCACGCCGCCAGCGUUCGUCCUGAGCCAGGAGUCAAACUACU